GUGUUCUCCUGCGCGUAUACUUCCUGUUUCUAUUUUAAGAAAAUUUAGGAAGAGAGUGUAAACAUUAGACUAGAUUGGAAGACAGAGAUCUGCGUUUUAACACAAACAAAACUUGAGGGCCUUGCAGAUUUAUAGAUCCUGCUAACACUCCUCCGGGUUGAAGCCGAUGAAUGUGUGAUGGCCAAUACUGACAAGGCUAUUGAAAGGGAACCACUGCAGUUGAACCAAGAAUCGCCAGCCCAAACCAAACCAAACCAGGAGGACCAUGAACAGUUGGAGCUCUCCCUCCUGAUAGAGAAUAAAGCCGCCCAGAACGAUAACACCAAUGUUCUGCAAAGCUUUGCAAUCGACGAUGCAUACCGCAACACUGCAGAAAAUCCCUACAGAGAAACCACGAUGACGGUCCCUCAUCUUGUAAAGAAAGUCCCGGAAGAGGACCUGACCCCACGACCUUGGAAGACCUUCAACCAGAUUUUAUGUUUCUCGUACCUCAGUGUGGUCUUCUGUAUAGGCCUAGGUGUUUAUGCGAACAGAGAAGCUUGGAAAGCCAAGCUGUUAAAUGGGAAAGGCUUGUAUGGUUUGGCUCAACAACGGGCCAGACGAGCAGUGAUAGUUAGUUACACUGCUAUUGUCGUGGGAAUUCUAUUGAUUGUGUUUAUCAGUCUCGCGGCGACGGAGACUAUUUAAGAAGAAUCGACAAUGUGGAUAGAUACGCAGGUUGCAUUGGCUAUUAGAUUUACUGUUGUUAAUGAAUGCUCCUAUUAAAGGAUUUCCAUUGUCAUUCACUCUUAAGGUGUCUGGUAUAUAAUGCAUGUACUACUACUAGAGAUGUUUUUCCAUUUUUAUUUUUACAUUUCUUGUUAAUCUUUAUAACGAGACUCAUUUCAGUCAUGUUGAUACAAAUUCCAUUGCUGGUUUAUUUCAAUUUGAUGAAAGUCAUUUUGUGCGACUUAUCUACCUGUAAUAAAAAUUUGAGAAAUAAUAUUUUUCAUCACAUUUUGCCCAGUGACCCAUAGUUUACUUUAUAGAAUAUGAAUUAAGCAAUUGUUGUUGCACAUUAAUUUUCACCAAAUGCUUUCCGACGAAAUUGUCCUUUCAAUUUAUUAACCAAAAUCAUGUAUUUCCCUUGGGGUUUUAAGUUAAAUUGAAUAGGCAGUAAUUUUAAAUUAUAGUGUUAAAUCUAGGAUCUAGAGAGGGCACACAUAUCAUAUGUUCAAAAAGGGCACUGUUCGUUGUGGUAAGACAAUUUCGGGGCACUUUCACUGUAUCAUACUAUGAUAGUAAUAGAAUAAUCAUUUCGCCUCUUUAAAAGUUAAUACCUGCUGCCUUGAUUUUAAACUUUUCAAUCAACCUUGUGAAAUAAAGAAAAAUUGUAUAUAUUAACAAAUAUUUUUAAAAAAUUUAUAGAGAAAAAAGGGCAUGGUGCAAUUAAAAAGGGCAUGGUGCAGUGCCAUGCUAGUUUACUUGCUUUAGAUUCAGCACUAAAUUAGUAAAUUAUAUCUCAGAUUCAGCCUGUGUAUAGGGGAUCAUUUUCUAUGUUGAUGCCCAGUAAUCUAAUGUAAAACUAGUUUUUGAUAAUCCUCUGUUUAGUUUUUCCAUGUGGAUCAGAUGUGGAUGUAAAUACCUUAACAAAUUGAAGAAAUAAUUUGGUAUGCCUUGUAUAUAUGUUUAAUUUAUGGUAUAAUCUCUCCAGUGCAUUUCUUACUUUUUUAGAUAGUUGAUAAUUUUGUAGAAUGUAUUUUCAGAUCUUGCAGGUUUUAUUUAAAAGUACAUGUAUGUGCAUACAAGACAAUUAUAAAAAGUGUAUGUGUAAAUUAAUUUUUUAAUUGUUUAAUACAAAAAGGAUGAAUGUACAUUUCAUCCUACACAUUGAACUGCAUCUCUGUAAUUAAGCUGCUUCAUUAAGACACUCAGGUUCGGUAUUAAACAGAGGACACAAAUUAAUUAUUACAUGUACAGUACACUUUUGGCUGUAUAAAGUUCAGCAUCACACCCUGCAUGGAAACAUGUAAGUGUACAUUUUCAUGGAAGUAUUCUACGUACUCAUGUCCGAGUCUCAUUAUCCCUUUUUUUUAUUUGGUGCCAUAGAAAGUUAUAUACAGUGAUGAAAUUCAAUGCCCACGACUUGCCACGAGUUUUCCUUUACAAUGUUUUUUUUCCCCCCGACACAAUUACUUUGAUAUGGACAAAUACUUUACAGUUUGGGUACAAUCACUUGUAGUUAUUGCGCCUCACAGAGGUGUAUAAUGUAUUUUUACUGAUAGUCUAAAGUCAGAUGUUGUACAAUAAGUUGUUAUUGUUUAUCAUGAAAUGUAUUAAUUAACAUCCCACUUCCUUCCCCGAGUAAAAUACAGAGUUACCUACCCUGUAUGAUGUAUAUUUUUGUUACGUAAGCAUUCUGAAAUAAAAUAACUUUUUGAAUUAAAAAAACCCCACUGACUCUACAAGAUUCCGACAAGGACUGAUCCUACAAAUAUACAUGUACACUGUUUACUUCAGGGUCUAGUGAUACUAAGUUAAUUUUAUCAGUGUUGAUGAAUUCUAAACUGUUUUUAUAUUCUUAACUGUAGAAAAAAAUAUCAAGUGAUGUAUCAAAAGAUUUUAUGCUCCAGGUUUUAAAUUACCAUAGAAAAAAAACCCCAGUCAUAAUAUUUUGUAUCAAACAUGCACCAUUCACAUUUUACCAUUAUUUAUACUUCUAAAAAAUGUUGAUGAAAACAUGUUUUGUAAAUCAAAUGUUGUAUUUCAUGUACUUAAAAUACCUUGGGUUGUAUAUUCACUUUAUCAUCAUCAUACAUUGUUAGUUAACUCAUUCCCAUAAAACAUGAGGAGUACCAAAAACACACAUUGUUUUAUGAGCUGGGAUGUCUAGGUAGUUUAGAGGUUAAACCUAUUUCCCUUUCACUGUUGCAGCCCGAGUUAGAUCCCCAUCAUCAUCAGUGUUUGUAUGUGAGCUCAGUUUUUGUGGUCACCCAUGUGGGUUUCCUCCGGGCACUUCCAUCUUCCUCCUACACCAAGGACCUCUUCUUCUCACUAAUAUCCGAGCCGACGAGGGGCAUUAGAACUUAAUCAUUGUUAAUAAAAGUCGGAAAUUAUAAUAAGCUCAUAAAAUACUAAUAUGUAUAUAAGAGCACCCAUUACAUUGAAAAAUAGAUUUAAAAAUCUUGUGCAAAUCUUGAGGCACAUAUUCCUCUGCUUGUUCACAAAUGCCUACACAAAAUUAUUUUACUCUCUAGUCAUCUUUUAGAAAGUUUGGUCAUGACUGUGACCAAAUCAUACGCUGAAUUUUCACAGUCCUAAUUAUAUAAUCAAAUAAUCUAUUUUAGUCUUUCACAUUUGGCAAAGGUGCUUUUGUUUGAAAUACAUUUUGCUUUUAGCCUAUAGGCUUGCAUAAUUUCUUAUUGUGUUCCAAGAAUUUUUUAUCACUUGUAAUUAAAUUGUGUGGUUAUAAAACUGAUAUAUUUUAUUUGUAUAUGAGAUUUCCUUUAUUUUAUUUUUAUGCACUUUAAGUCCAUUAAUCUAUCUGACGUGUAUAGAUUUAUGUAUGUUUCGGACAUUCAAAUCCAUUAUGAUUGGUUUUUUUAUUAUUUAAAUAUUUUAGAUUUCACGUACUCUUGAAGAAGAGGUAUAUUAUAUACAGGGAAAUUUGAAAUAUUUGCCCCCCAUUUUAUUUUUGCCCUAAUUGUCAGUGGGCUAAUUUAAGACAGAACAAAACCAUUUUCUCUUACAUACAUGUAUAUAGCAACUACUAUGUCGGGAUGACUUUUAAAAUGGGUGAAACCGUCUGCGAGUGUAGAGAGAAAAAAAUAACAUGGGUGAAAAAUUACCUUGUAUAAAAUAAUAUAUUCGUUUUUCUCCAACCAGGCAUUGAAGUCUCUAAAACUGCCAUUUGUUUAUUAAUUGGAAAAGCUAGGUGCUCUCUGUAUACAUGUCAAAUUUAGCCAUCUCUUUUCUGGUAGCACCUUUGAGAAGCUGUACAUGGUAGCUGUUUAUUGUUAUUGUGCUGUAGUUCUGAGAUAAUCUUGUUUAUAGCAUCUCAGAGAUCAUUCAUUAUUUAAUGAACAGGAUCAGGAGACAAUCAUUGAAUAUUCGUCCCAUUUUCAAACUGCAUGUGCUGGAGACUAACUGCCAUGGUUAACAUUUCCCCUUGGCAGCCUUUACUGUUAGGGAGGUUAAGGAGGUACUCUAGAUCGUUAUAAUGGCUGACUUCCUUUUAAAACAUGGUGGAAUAUAUAAAUAUCAGCAAUAUUUGUCUAGUCAUUUAAAAAAUUCUCACCUAGCUGAGUAGCUCAGAAGUGCAGAACUGUAGAUCACGUGUUCGAGUCCAGCAGGGGUUUUAAUUUUUUCUCAGAUUGCUUUCAACUAAAACUGUAUUUUUUGACCAAAUAAUGUAAAUUUGAAAGUUUUCAGUCUCAAAAUAUUGUACAUAUCCUCCACUUUUCAUCCAUGGAUAUCAAAUCUCUCUGGUGUAGCAUACCUCCUUAAAUAAAUUAAUGCUUGUAUGUUUCUAAAGUGCAAUUUUACAUUUUCAUGUUCAGAUAUUUCCAUUUAUGAAUAUGUGUGUAUUGAUGUUAAUGCUGUUAUAAUAAUGUUGUAUACCAUAUUGCCUAAUAGUAAUAAUAUUACUACAUUAAAAAUAUUUUAUCAA
Ostrea edulis (European flat oyster) is the source of this 4648-nucleotide long non-coding RNA. RefSeq lists it as uncharacterized. The transcript is spliced from 2 exons. The record is from RefSeq and is a predicted model, not a curated record. NCBI's taxonomy places the organism in Eukaryota, Metazoa, Mollusca, Bivalvia, Ostreida, Ostreidae.